GAGUCUGUGGCGGAGGAGACGGGAUGGGACAGGCAGCGGCAGCCAGAGCUUCCCUGAACUGGAUCACUCAGGCCGGACCCGCUGGGUCUGGACAGGUAGGAACUGCAUCACAUUUACAUUGCUCAAUGAGGACCACAUGCUUGGCAAUGCCCUCCAAUACAUGGUCAUGAAGAACCCUGAUGUGGAGUUCUGUGGCUACUGCAUCACGCACCCCUCUGAAAGCGAGAUCAACUUCCAAAUCCAGACCAGAGAGGAGCAUGAAGGAGUACAGGGCCCAGAGGGAGGAAGAGAUACAGUAGCAUUUAGGGAUGGCAGUCUCCAUGGACGUGUGUAAGCCUGGGAACAACGCUGAAAACACCGAUGUGUUAAAUAGAGCGUUAUUCGUUUGCAGCCCAGAAUCCCUCUGUGCUGGGCUGCAUCCGCAGCGUGUGAGCAGCAGUCAAGGGAGGGGAUUCUCCCCCUCCGCUGUGCUCUGGGGAGACGCCCCUGCAGUCCUGAUCCAGCUCUGGGGCAACAC
Melopsittacus undulatus (budgerigar) is the source of this 517-nucleotide long non-coding RNA. RefSeq lists it as uncharacterized. Lineage: Eukaryota; Metazoa; Chordata; Aves; Psittaciformes; Psittaculidae. The record is from RefSeq and is a predicted model, not a curated record. The transcript is spliced from 5 exons.